AUGAACGCUAGCUACAGGCUUAACACAUGCAAGUCGCGGGGCAGCAUGGGGGUUGCUUGCCAUCCCCGAUGGCGACCGGCGCACGGGUGAGUAACGCGUAUCCAACCUGCCCUUCACCACGGGAUAACCCGGCGAAAGUCGGACUAAUACCGUAUGUUGUCCAUUGACGGCAUCCGAUUUGGACGAAAGGCUUGGCGGUGAGGGAUGGGGAUGCGUCCGAUUAGCCAGACGGCGGGGUAACGGCCCACCGUGGCUACGAUCGGUAGGGGUUCUGAGAGGAAGGUCCCCCACACUGGAACUGAGACACGGUCCAGACUCCUACGGGAGGCAGCAGUGAGGAAUAUUGGUCAAUGGGCGUAAGCCUGAACCAGCCAAGUAGCGUGCAGGAUGACGGCCCUAUGGGUUGUAAACUGCUUUUAUGCGGGGAUAAAGUGGCCCACGGGUGGGCUUUUGCAGGUACCGCAUGAAUAAGGACCGGCUAAUUCCGUG
Molecule: ribosomal RNA, 489 nt
Filed under: uncultured bacterium
Lineage: Bacteria
Description: partial 16S ribosomal RNA
Rfam family: Bacterial small subunit ribosomal RNA
Source: RNAcentral